GUCUAAGGCAAUGAAUGACUCUAUGUACAGUAAGACCGGUGGUUCCAUGCUUACUUAGCUGGAUCGUGGGUAAAAUGUACCACAUCAGGUACUAGUGGGCUUUGAGUAUUCUUUUCAGAAGGAAAUAUUUCAUAAAGAAAUGAUACUGCUCUAUGAAACAUCUAAUAAUCUGCAGUACCAGGUAAUAAACUGCCAAGGUAUCUAUAAUAUCUGAUCCUAGAUUCUAUCUUAGAUACAAGGCAUAUUGAAAGAAACUUGGACCCUAGAAAGCAUAUUGUUACAUAUUUUUGAAAUAUACACAACAUAAACUUUUAAAAUAUUG
RNAcentral lists this long non-coding RNA (322 nucleotides) under Rattus norvegicus (Norway rat). RNAcentral's name for it is "long non-coding RNA NONRATT033160". The record is from RNAcentral. Lineage: Eukaryota; Metazoa; Chordata; Mammalia; Rodentia; Muridae.